RNAcentral lists this ribosomal RNA (250 nucleotides) under uncultured bacterium. RNAcentral's name for it is "partial 16S ribosomal RNA". It matches the Rfam family "Bacterial small subunit ribosomal RNA", at positions 524 to 773 of the family's 1533-position model. The record is from RNAcentral.
UACGUAGGGUGCGAGCGUUAAUCGGAAUGACUGGGCGUAAAGGGUGCGCAGGCGGUGGGUGAAGACGGAUGUGAAAGCCCUGGGCUCAACCUGGGAAUGGCAUUCGUGACUGGCCGACUCGAAUCUGGCAGAGGGAGGUGAAAUUCCACAUGUAGCAGUGAAAUGCGUAGAGAUGUGGAGGAAUACCGAUGGCGAAGGCAGCCUUCUGGGCCAAGAUUGACGCUGAGGCACGAAAGCGUGGGGAGCAAAC